GCUGGGUGUGGUGCCACGUACCUGUAAUCCCAGCUACUGGGGAGGCUGAGGCAGGAGAAUUGCUUGUACCCAGGGGUUGGAGGUUGCAGUGAGCCAUGAUCACCCCACUGCACUCCAGCCUGGGUGACAGAGCAAGACUCUGUCUCAA
Unclassified non-coding RNA from Callithrix jacchus (white-tufted-ear marmoset), 148 nucleotides. It matches the Rfam family "Metazoan signal recognition particle RNA". From Rfam's summary of the family: The signal recognition particle (SRP) is a universally conserved ribonucleoprotein. It is involved in the co-translational targeting of proteins to membranes. The eukaryotic SRP consists of a 300-nucleotide 7S RNA and six proteins: SRPs 72, 68, 54, 19, 14, and 9. The record is from Ensembl. NCBI's taxonomy places the organism in Eukaryota, Metazoa, Chordata, Mammalia, Primates, Cebidae.